AUGCUCAGCUGGGAGCACAUACACUAAAACCGGACCGAUGUGGAGAAGAUUAGCAUGGCCUCUGCUCAGGAUGACAUGCAAAUUCGUGAAGUGUUCCACGUGUUA
Molecule: small nuclear RNA, 105 nt
Filed under: Peromyscus maniculatus bairdii (prairie deer mouse)
Lineage: Eukaryota; Metazoa; Chordata; Mammalia; Rodentia; Cricetidae
Source: RNAcentral